Long non-coding RNA from Felis catus (domestic cat), 21080 nucleotides. RefSeq lists it as uncharacterized. The transcript has 13 exons. The record is from RefSeq and is a predicted model, not a curated record. Lineage: Eukaryota; Metazoa; Chordata; Mammalia; Carnivora; Felidae.
GAGGGGAAAGCAGGCGGGAGGACAGCGAAGGCCGAGCCCUUCGUUCAGCUGGGGAAGAGUCCGGCAGCUUCUUUCAGAACAGCGAGACGAUUGUUACCAAUACCGCCUCACACAGUAAGAGCCGACAGCCAAGCCCCGUUGUGAGCACUCUUAUGUACAACUUUUAAGUCUUCGCUACGGUCCAGAGCUGGGGAUUCUUCUCCCCGUUUCGGAGGGGCUGAUGUUGGAGGAGGCGGCUCAGGGAGGGGAGUAACUUGCCCAGAGCUACACAGCUGUUUGAGGUGGGGCCGUGGAUGGAGACUGGCUGUUCUGGAUCCAGCGUCUACUGCCUCUCAUGGUGGGCUCGUGGAUAGGGCCCAGGCCCAGCCCAAGACUGAAAGAGGAGAGUGGAGAUUUCCUAGUGCCUUGUUGACACACACUGGGUGCUCAGUAAAUCAUCGCUGAAGGAAGGGCUGGAGUGUCCUGCGAGCUUCUAAAAAGUACUUAGCAACGGCAGCUGGAGGUGGACCGAUCUGUGACCCCUGCUCACCUGCAUUCCUGUGGCCCAUGAGAGGUUUGAGCUCAACUGUUAGCACCAGAGAGAAACCUAAACCGACCACCUUCAGCGUCUCUUUGACCUCGUCCUGUUUCAUAUCUCCAGAGCUCCCGUCGUGAUCUCAGGUGCAGCAUCUGGCCCCAGGAGGCAGCAUGCUGGAGCAGAAAAUGUUAAGCAUGUGGAGCCAGACAGAUCUGGGUUUGGAUUCUCGUUUUACUAGUUCCCAGGGAUUCUUGCAUGAUGCACUACCUGUCUGGGCACCUAUGUUUUCACUCCCUGCCUCCCAGCCCUUGUUGGCAAUACCUGGGACUGAAGAACUUGGCUCCAGGAUGUCCAUGAGGGUGUAUUCUACUGGAAUAUCAGACUCUGAACAGAGCCUGGAGCCUGCCUUUUGAAUGAGCACCUGGGUUGAUCACUGUGCUGACACUGGAGAACUUCCUCUGUAAGGAACACCAGCAAGCCGAAUGUACCCAGUUGCUCCAGUGUGUGGAAUAGAAAAACAUGCUUCUGAAAUGUCUGGAGGGGACAUUGGUGAGAGCUGGAGGUAGAAAUCCCAUGGAUGGCGUAAGGCUCGUGUGAGGUCCUCGGGUUUGGGGAAUGGGGAAUGCAUCCUGGGCAGGGAGGGCAGAGUAAGCAGAGUGACGGGAGGUGGGAGGAAAACUCUGCCUCCCUCCAUCCCUCUUUCUUCUCUCUGUGCAUGUGUUUCCUCAUCUGUCCUCCAUCACGCCCCUGUGGAGCAGGUAUGAUUACCCCUAUUUUCAGAUGGGGAAACUGAAGCCCAUAAAAGUAAUUAGCCAAGGACACUCAGCCAGUAGGUGGCAUGGACACUUGCCUGGAGUGGGAAGGGUUUUCACAGGUAGCUGGCCUACCAGAGAGAGGGCCAAGGGUUCUGCUACAGGUGAAGAUGAGUUUGUGUUAGAAGGCGAAUUUCAGCCAUCUUGUCUGCUGUUGGCGAAAGGUGGGAUUCCACGUCUCCGUGUGGCAGUGCUUGAACAAGGGCCGGGAGUGGGACGUGGACCGGCUGUAACCCACCUGCCUGUGUUGCCGGUGCCAGAUGGCUGGUCCCGCCUCUCGCCAGUGGCCUCCAGCUGCUGUUCUUCUGGCCUCUGUCACCAGCAUGGAUGUGAGGCUCUGGCCAGGACUGGGGUUGCCUGGGCUCUGAGGCCUGGUAAGUGUGGGAAUGUUGUCUUGGCCGUUUUUCCCUUUCCAGGUUCAAGGAGGUUACUUUGAGGCUGGGCUUAGCAGGAUGGCAUAGCUUUCUCUUGCUUCUCACCCCAGAGUCAUCUCCGAGUUUCCUGGGGAGACAGAGCCUCCCCUGCCAUUCUCUCUGUAGGACCUGGGCUUUCUGUCCUUGCCAAGGAGGCCCCUCUAAGGAACCGGCAUCCCCUCUUUAUUCAGGCCUAACUGGUUCACCUCCCCUGGGUCUGUGGUGCUCUGGGCAAUUUGGGAGCUGCUCAGGCUCCAUCCAGGGCCCCACUCAGGCUUCAGGGACUGUUCCCUUGGCUGUGAACCCUUGGUCCUGUCCAGGCAGAGCCGAAUUCAUGGGCGUGUGACUCAUGCAGUUGCAUAAAGUCCGUGCUUAGAAAGGCCUCAUGCUGGGUUUCAUGCUCUGAGGCUCCAGUCUUGAAAUUCUUAGUAGUUUUGUCCUUGCACCUGUGCUUUGAAAGUGGAUCUAAUGGGGCCACGAAGCAUGCAUGGAGUGCGUGUCCACAGUGCUUUAUGUUCACAGGUAGUGUUCUUGGUGCCCGUGAUCUCUGAAGUCUGAUGGAUGUGACAUGUGGGGGGCCGGCAUGCCUCAGAGGGUAGAAGGUAGGCAUGUUGUGUCUAAACCUAAGUAAAUGGAGGUGCCGAUGGCCCCCAGAAGCCAUGCUUCCUGUCGAGCUAGAACUUACAUUGAAUGCAGAAAGAAGGCAGUGGCGUUCUAGAAGCAUGAACCACGGAGGAAUCCUACUCUGUCAUAUCCAUUCUUGUGUCACUUCCUGGUGUUCAUUAGCCACUCAUGCCGGGAGCAAUGGCAUACAACAAAAGGCGAAGAUAGGUUGUCCCCGAGUUCCUUCCUUUAUGUCCCUCGUCGUCAUCAGUGAGCCAGAGUGACCCUCUGAGGAGAUACUGUUCUAGAAGAGGAAACGGAGGUCCAGAGAGGUCACAGCACUGCACUUUUGUGCCUAUCACAGAAGCCCUUGAAGCCUCAUGAUGAAUUGGAAACGAGGUACCGGACGGAGAGGUGCUCAUGGCUGUGAAUGGCAUGGUGCAGUGGACGGAGCACAGACCUGGACGAGGAAUUCUAUCCUAGUGGCGAUCUUCUCCACUCCUGUAGAUUCUGCUAGGCACCUUCAUUCUAUCUCCUGGGUUCUAUCUGUCUCCACUCCAGACCCAUUUGAUCGCACACCUUUUGGACAACACUGCAGGUCACAAAGUAAACUCAUUUUCUUUUCCUGUUGUCAGUGUGUCUCUUGCAUCCAAAAUCUGUUAAUGGUGACCCUGGAAACCUGGCCUCCCAAGCUGGACCCCUCAGAGGCACUUCCGUGCUCUUUUCCCAUUGCCCACAACGUAAAUCAACAGGCAGAUCUCUGUGUGUUGUGUUUUAGAUGUGUCCCUUGAUCCAGUGCCUCACCUCCGUCCUCCUUGUACUUUGCCCUAAUCACAUCUUGCCUGGGUCACCUGGAAUAUCCAAGUGGUCUCUUAAUCUCUAGUUUCUGUUCUCUCCUGUCCCCAGCUUGGGCUGCAGCUAAAACACAGUCAUCAUCAUUUCAUUCCCAUGUGUAAAACCCUUCCAGAGCCAUGGCGUGGCAUUCAAAGGCUUCCUGGUUACACCCAGAGCAUUCACAACGCACCCCCCUCCCCCCGUGAACCUCCCCCUUCCGUGAACCUUCCUCAGUCCCCUGUCUUCCUCUGCUGGCCUGGCCCACCUCCGAGCUUCAGCUCCACGGUGCUGGCUGGGAUGCUCCACAACCACUCCCUGGCACAUCCUUGUGCCAGACAGCCUCCCCUCUAUCGUCAGUAGUUAGUUCAGAAUUCCCUCUUCUGUGCAGCUGUUCUUGGCGCUCGCAGGAGGACAGAAUUGUUCUUUUGGGUUCUCCUGCAUGCUGACCAUUGGGAGGUGGGAGUUAUACCCCAGAAGAGAUGGUCAGAAUCUGAAGGACCUUGAUCAUAGGAGGAACAGUCAGAAAAUAACAGAAUGAUAUAGACCAAAUGAGGCUCGAACUAGGGACUGGGGGGAAAACAAAGACCAGAGGGAUGAUGGUGACAGCCAUCACAGAACCCACACUGUUCAUGAGCCAAAGGCACUGUGUGAUUCGUCUGAUCUGUCUUCCCUUCAACCCAAAGCAUCUGUUUUUCAGAUUACGAAGGCAAAGUUCAAAGUCUUUGGGCAACGCGUCCCAAAUAAUACAGUUGGUGUCAGAGGCAGCUUUGUGUGAGUCCAAAACCUCGUGCUUUCCAGCGAAGGAGCUAUGCUCGCAGGGUGCCCCCGACUCUGCUCAGGAGGCAGCAGCUUCUGAGUCACAAGCACGUUAUGCGUCCACAUAACCCUGAAAACCCUGCUCGUCAGACCGAGUGGUCAUUUGCUACUGGCAUGUGUUCUCCGUGGUUGCUGUCCUUCAAAAGAAGCCCCUUCGGUGCUAGCCCUCUAAAGUGCCCUGAGCCCAGAGGGUGUGAAAGCCGGCUCUGUGGGGCGAGGGUGGCGGCUUCCUCCUCGGCUUGGUCCAGUACCCAGAUGGGAAUAGGGAGCAGCAUAACGGGGUCCAGAAGCAAGACCAUCUCCUGGUCCUUCUGAGUCCCUCCUGACAAAUGGUGUGGUUGCCAGAGCUCUGGGCCAAUCCGUUUUCUGGUGCAAGACUGAAAAAACCAGGCCAGAUCGAGAAGGACAGGAGGACAGAGAGUAGAAAACCGUCAGGAGUCCUGGAUUCCAGCUCUCACCCUCACCAGCUCUGUGGUUUGAGCAAAUAUCUUAAUGCCUCUGGGCCUCAGAGUCAAGUGCGGGUCAGAACGCUUAUCCAACACACCAGGCUUCAAUGAGAAGGCCUAUUUGCCAUCUGCAAAUACCAUGUCUGGUUCUCCGGCAGCCCGUGAGCUCCUGAGGGCACAGGACUGUCUUCUUCACCUGCGUCUUUCAGUUAGGAGACCACGUGCUAAGGGUGGCAUACCUCUGAAUAAGUACAGAGUUUGCUCUUCUGGGAUUCUGACAAUAGUACUCUCCUAUAUUUGGUAGUUAAUGAAUUCCUUCAUGAUUCUAUUCACUUUUUUCAAUAACUAUGUUUUUUUAAUGUUUAAGUUUUUUUUUUUAAUAUUUGUUUAUUUUUGAGAGAGAGAGUGUGUGUGAGCUGGGGAGGCGCAGGGAGGCAGGAGCGAGGAACGGAAGUAGGCUCUGCACUGACAGCAUGGAGCCUGAUGUGGGGCUCGAACUCAUGAACCAUGAGAUCAUGACCUGAGCUGAAGUCAGAUGCUUCACCAGCUGAGCCUCCCAGGCGCCCCUCAGCAACUCUUUGUCGAUCGCUUACCGUGUACCAGGCCGGUGGUGAUGGAAACAACGAAGAGCGGCCUCCAUCACUGUGAGAUUGGAGUGCUGCUGGGGGACACCGUCAUCGCGGGGACAUACACACGCGCAAGUGCAGGAGAGUUCGGAGAAGGAAAGUACCUGGGGAAAAUGGGUGCAACGGAUGCAGAGAUGGUUGGUGGGAAUGCAGACUGGUCAGCAGCUCUGGAAAACAGUAUGGAGUUUCCUCAAAAAACUAAAAAUAGAACUACCCUACGACCCAGCAGUUGCACCACUAGGUCACGUGCACCUACCGUUCAAGGCAAUGCCCAUCCCGAAUCCAGCCUUUUCAGCUUGUCUACAGCAAAUACACCACCAGUGUAAUGUGGUGAUUAAGAACAUGGACUUUCAAUCCAGAACGUGUUCAAAUCCUACCUCUGCCUCUUACCGGCUGUGUGGUCUUGGGCAAGUUACUUUACUUCUCUGUGCCUCUGUAUUCUUAGCCAUACAUUGGGAAUGAUUAUAUUCCAUACCUCACAGGGUUAUUGUGAAGGUUAAAGGAAAUGAUACAUGUAAAGUUCUUAGAAUCUCACCUAGUGUAGCGAGUACUCAAUUGAUACUACCCAUUCCAGGAAUCUCCAUCCCAGCUGAAUUUCUCUGUUAAUGGCUUUGAGUGUGCUUGUGACUUUCCUGCCUUUGAUUUCAGAUGCUCUUUUCACCUGCCUGGAAUGAUGUCUCCUCCGUUUUGCUUGUAUCCAGAUUCUCCUUGCCGUCUCUAGCUGAGCACGCUCAGGAAAUGGCCAGGCCCAGGCCUCACACCCACCCACGACUCAGCUACUGUGCGGGGCCGCCUGGCCUCUCUGGCUUCCAGCUUUCCCUCUUGAAGUGGAAAUGUUUAUGCAGACCUUGUGGAGCUGUCAAAGGUGAAAUCCUCAAACUCUGGCAGGUAGUAGGUACUUAAGAAAUGAGAGAUGUUAUCAAGACAGAUCUUACUAAUCCUGCCUGCCUGGGUGUCCUCUCUGAACUCUUCUGGUAACUAUAAAUUCCACCAUUUAUCUGGUCACUCAUUGACCGUGUGGUGCUUUGUAACACCUUUUAAAUGUUUUUCUUCUUCUGCUUGGAACUAUUAUCGGAAUCUUUGGAAUCUUACUGAUGCUCAGGUUUCAAAUACACACUACACCUAGUACCCUGUUCACUGCACUGGGUGUCCCUUGAGGGAAGACGCUGUGCAAACACUUCUUGUCUCCCUUUUUUUUUUUUUUUUUUUGAGAGAGAGAGAAUGUGUGAGCAGGGGAGAGAGGCAGAGGGAGACAGAGAGAGGAGAGAGAAUCUUAAGCUGAGUGUGGAGCCCGAUGUGGGGCUUGAUCCCAUGAGUUUUGGUUCAUGACCUGAGCCGAAAUCAAGAGUCGGAUGCUCAACCAGUGGAGCCACCCAGGCGCCCCUGCACGAAUGUUUCUAAUUUGACUGCAGUUCGUUGAGACAUCUUUCUGUGAUGGCAGCCUUACGCUGGGCUUACAUUUUCCAGUGCUUCCUUGUCUUUUCGCUUUGGUACAGCAGCUGGUUGUGGCCCAGGGCUUUGGGGCCACGGCUCUCUUGUUAAUGUUUAUUUUUUUGCAUUUACUUUUGUGUGGUAGGCUCUUUGUCCCUGGCUUGGACUUUUCCUGGCGGUCCCAUUGGCCGGCCGGCCCCUGGGUCCAGACAGAUAAGGGCUCAUUUUCAAAACCGGCUCGGUAAUUGUUGGGUGCCUUUUCCCCUUCGCUUUCUAACCCAUGAAAACACCAGCCUUGUGAUUGUGUUUCAAGAAACAUGUCGAUGGGCCUGUGCUCUGGACGUUUCCUCACCUGAGAUAAGGUCUGGGUGUCAGCUCUAAGGAAGAAGGUACACUGGAGAGGAAGAUUUCCUAGGCAGUGACACCACCUCGGGCAGCAGUAGCCUGAGACUGGACUGCCCAGGUGCAGGUGGAGACCAAGCCCACCCCCAGAGGAGGGGCAGCCGGGACCACCUGGGCGUCCCCUCCCACCCCAGGCAUGGACUUGAGAGGCGCAGGGGCUGUCCUUCCUGGGGAGGAGCCCCGGGGCCAGCAAUGGCAGCACUCCAAGGCCUCACAGUGGGGUUGGGUGGUUGUGGCCGUGGCCGCUGGAGCAGACAGUCCCUGGAUAAAGUCCAGAGUCUGAACAUUCUGGUCCUGGCUCUCAGUCCCUCACUGAGGGAUCCUGCACAUUGGAGCUCAGUUUUCUGCCUGCAAAGGAAGUGUGCCAUAUCAGUAGUUCAAACACUUGUUUUUUAAAAACACAUCAGAGUGCUUUAAAUUUUUUUCUAAAGCAGAAUCAUAUGCAUAUUCCAGGUUUACAGAGCAGAUAAAAAGAGCAGGUCCGUGUGAAGGAGGUAGGACUCCCAGGAUCCUGCCAUUCCCCGCGCCCACAUGCAUCCUGCAAGGCUCAUUCAUGCAAACUUGGCUUCCCCAAGCACAGUUUGAACCUGCUGGACUAGUUAGUCUCAGUUGUCUGUGUGAGGUCUUCCAGGCCACUUCUGGGGACUCUCCCCUUCCCUUGGAGAUGAAGAAGCAGGGUCUGUGGACAGGGUGACGGCAGAAUAGUCCCCGUUAUGACCUAAUCACAAACCGAUCAGAAAGGAUGCUGGUCAGAGUACUGGUUGGAUAUAGUGACUUUGUGUGUUCGAAAUACAUAAGCUAUUAUAUGAAUUUUAUUGUAUUAUAUUAGUAGUAGUAUAUUAUGUAAUGUAUUUCAAAAUACAUUGUUUCUGUCCCUUUCAGAUUCAUCUGAAUAAAAACUGGGUGCUAUUAUUUUGAACAGUGUCCACAGGAAAUAGUAAUUAACAAAUAAACAUCCCUAAAUCAAAACACGGAAACCUUUAUUCUGGAUCUUUGGUAGGGUGACAGUGUCCAGGUGGGAGGGACAGAAUGGGCAGGGACUUGAGUUGACUCUGGGCAUGGUCAGGGCAAGAAUAACACCAAUCACACAAUGAAGGGCUUGCUCCAAGAUAGGAUGGUUUCCAUGCCCAGCAGCCCACGAAAUAGGUAUGUUUCCUAGGGCUACCUUCACAAGUUAUCACAAAUUUAGUGGCUUCAAGAAAACUCCAGAAAUUUAUUUUGUCACCAUUCUUGAGGGCAGAAUCUGAAAAAUAAGGUGCCAGCAGGACCAUACUCUCGCCGAAGGCUCUGGAGGGAGAAUCAUUGUUUCUUAUAGAUUCUGGUGGCUCUGGAUAUUUCUUGGCCUGUGACUAUAUAAUCCCAUCUUGGUCUUUGUCCUCAUACAGACUUCUUCUCUUUUCCCUGUGUCUUCCUUCCUGGUAUCUCUCAUAAGAUACUUGUUACUGGAUUUAAGGUCCACCUGCGUAAUCUAGGGUGAUCUCAAGAUCCUUAACUUUGUAACAUCUGCAAAAACUCUUUUUCAAUUAAAGUCACAUCGAUAGGUUCUGGGGGUUAUAAUGUGGACAUAUUUUGGGGGGGCAUUAUUAACCUUGCUGUUAGAUAUGAGGAAACUGGGGUUCAAUCCAGGGAGGUAAUUUGCCCAUAGCCACUCAACUGGUGGGUGGCAGGCCCAGGCUAGGACUCACCCUGAGGGCUGCAUUGUGUUCUAUGUGCUACAGAACAUUGUGGGAUGUCAGGGAAGGGACCAGGCAGAUGUAGGACCGUCCCUAACAAUCCAGCUUGGAAGGCCUUGCUUCAGGUACAGAGGGUGUUCAAUGUCAGUCUGUUAUUGAGAUGGUUAUUGAUUUUGAGGCUUUGACCUGAGCUUCUCCGGGGUGGCAAACUGAUGUGUCUGCCUCUGUAUCCCUAGCACAGUGCCGAAAAUGUUGGAUACAUGAAAUUGAAUGCCUGUGAUGAGAGACUGUGCUCAUAUGUCUGUGUGCCUUUAUAGUGUCUACCACGUGUGGUUAGUGGUGGUGCUUAGACACUAUGGAAAAGGCUGUGUGGGACCAGAGCUCGCUCCAACAGGCCCAAUUCUUGCCUUACCCACAAUCUGCUCAAGGGACUUCAGAUCGGUCACUCUGCCUUGCUUUCCAAAUAUGUCAGGUGAGGUUAGUAAUACUCUUCCUACAGAUCUCACUGGAUGUUUCUGUGUUUUUGUUGACUGGGGAGUCAGUGCGGGGGGCUUCUGUCUGAAGGCAGGAGGAAGUAAAAGAUAAAAUUUCCAAGCCCCUUCCAGCCCUAGGGUUUUAGGAAAAAAUUUAAUCAUGUUUUACACCACCAGAUGUAAGCACAUAUUGUAACUGCGGGGGCAACAUGAAAUUGAGGACAAUCAUGCUCUUUCACUUAGAUGAGAGCAAGACGCACUCUGCUUAAACUGUGAUUAGAAGGAUGGAGGUCAGACAGAAAUCCCUUUGUGAUGUCAGGGGAUCUGUUUCAUGGGAACGGGGCCUGAGGCCGACUUCUCAGGGGGGCCAUUUGGGAGCUGGGAGGACUGUGGUGUGCAGAGGCAGGAGUUAAGGGUGACGAAACAUUUUGACAUAAGGAGAACUUUCCAGAAGUUAAGGCUGAGAAACCUUGCGUUGGGUGGUUGGGAAUUGAGACGGUCCCAGAAUCAGCAAAACUAAGGCCAGAUCCUUAAUGCUCUUCCAUUGAUUUGGAGGUCUUUCUGGUAGGGGGAUGGGAGGCCUCCUAGAGAUCCAGCUUGUUUAGAGCUUGGACUUUGGAGUCAGACAGACUGGGUUAAUUGCCUCCAUUGUCAUGUACCAGUUGUUGAUCUUGUAUGAGUUCCUUAACCUUCCCAGAUUCCUUGUGGUAUGGGUACGCCCCCCUCCAGAGCUUAAGUGUGAGCAUUAGAUGAGUCAGGGCAGGCGACACACCUAGCACUGUGCUUGGCACACAAUAAGUGUCAAGAGGCUCUGACAUAGACAUGUGAAACCCUGUCCUCCUUGGACAAGCUCCAGGUUGGGGCAGGAGAGCCCCUGUGCUGUUGGAUAACAAAUGCUUUCUGUGUUUCAAAAUGAAGACAGAUUGAAACUUGAUAUUUUUUUGAUCAAAAACCUUAAGUCAAGGCAAAGCUUGGUGGAGCACCGAAAGUCCUGUUUUCUGUGACUGGGGGUCUCCGGCAGGAUGUUGGAAUGUCUCUGCUCCCCCUGACGUCCUUCUGCUGCUUUGGUGACUGCCCACAGACAGACCAGCUCCCAGUCAUCUGAAACACCACUCAGAAGGCAGGAAUUUGCAAUCCGUUCCAAGCUGGAAGUGACUUUCAUGUGAUGGGGCCGCACUGCUCUGUGACUCUGUAACCAAUUCUCCCCACGCUGGCCGCUCUCCAGAUGCCUGGGAUGUGAUCAGUUGACCAAACAAAACGGCAGGUCCGUCCAGGAGAACGCUGUGUCUGGCUUCGGGAGCAAAAGCUCCCAGCACGUGCAAAACUCAGGCCCCAAGUUUCUUCAUGUUUUUCCCUGUUCUUUUCAGGCAGCUCUUUUUAGGUAAGAAAUCUACAACCUUCAACUUUGAAAGUCAAGUUAAGUUUAGGUAAAACAAAUCAGUGCUGGAAGUCAGUGAUUGAAGAGAUCACCGUAAGUGGCAAACGUCCAUUUUUGUUCAACCGAAGUAAACAGAAAUGAACGGAAUUGGCCUUCCACACAUUUUUGUGAGUAUGCUGGGGACGUUCAUCACCCCCAAGGUGGCCUUAUAGAAGGAAGAUUGGCCUGGGGAUCCUAACGCUGGCUUCUGGCACCAGCUGGGCUCCUAACUCCCUGUGAAACUCAGAGCCGACCUCCUAACUUCUCAGGAAGUCAGUUUCCCUAUUUCUAAAAUUAGUUGGCUUCCAGCUUUCCUUCCCUGUUUAAAAUUCUUUGAUGUGUUUUCGAACGCUAGAUAAAUUCUCUGUUGAUAGAUCCGUAGAAGAAUUUGUAAGGAUCUCUUAUGUUUGUAUAGCGCUUUAUUGUUUUAUUUGUUGUCCGGAAGCUUCUGAGCUUGGCAGGGCGGAUUGGGUUACCCUAGCACAUGGAUGAGGAAACUGAGGUCCAGAUAAAUUGAGUUCCUGGCUUGGCCAUGGCUUUUUGGUGGGUGAAUGGAGGUGGUGAGGACAAAGCCCAGAUCUCCUGGUAUCUAGUCCAGAGUUCGUCUCCAAUCUUGACACGUGCAAUUGUUGAUGGAGCAAGAAACCAUAUCCAACCCCAGCUCUCUCCAUCAGAGGCAAAAUCCCACCCAACGUGUCCUUCUGCGUGAUGGCCAUCGGCCACUUCAGGUGGCUCUUCUUGGGUACUCAUUUGGAGUUCAGUUUAUGAUAAAAUGCGCUACAUGUUACAGAUGCAGAUUUCAAGGUGAAUCUUACAGUCAGGCAUGCAAAGUCAGCACAGGUUACGUAGCAGUUUAGGUUGGAAACAAGCUUGCCGGAUUAACUGGCUGCUCAUUUACCUUCGCUUCUGCAUCUUUAAAACAGCUGGCGCAAUAUCUAAUAUUUACGAUACUCGGUACAUUAAUUCUCGUGCUCUCUCCAUGUUAUCUUGAUCAUUUGUAAUGGAAUUUGGGCGUUCGUUACAAUUAUGUAGGGACACUGAGUGAUAGAAUGGUUGUAAUGUAUUGCUAUGGGAAACAAAUGAAACAAAGUGGUGUGUUUUGUCUGUACUCAUUUUUGUAUAGAAAUAUGAAAUCAGGUAUGUAACGAAGAGAGGAUUCUCAUGUGGGUUAAUAGUGGUUUUCGUAUAGGUGGUGGGACCACCGGUGUGUUUUACUUUUUUUUUUUGGCUUUUCUGCUUUUCCAUAGGUGUGUAAAUUGACCAUAUCUUAAUGUGGUAAUCAGUUUAAAAGUUUCUUCCUUUGAAGGUGUACGGGUGAUGAUUUUAUCUGAUUGGGAGAAAAAAUUGGACAACCAGUUUACUUCCAGGUGGUUGUUGAAGAAGACUGAUUCCCAAAUAUUUUCAACACAGACACAAAUUGUGCCAUCGGCAGUAAUUGCUAAUUGACCCUCUUUCUGUUCAAUUAAGACAGCCACUCUCAGCUGCUGUGGGUCCGCGGGAUUGAGGAUGCGGCAGCCAAGUGCAGUUGGGGCCCGGGCUUCACAUCUGCUGCCUGCCUUUGCCAAACAGCUGUGUUCUGAGCCAGCAGCGUGAUGAUGCUCACCUGCGGGAAAUGUGGGCCGUGGAGUUGGUCUGCAGGCCGUGGGGGAUCAAGAGCGGACGGUUCCACUCCGACAGGUGGGCCAGCCGAUCGGGAAGGGGCUUGCGCUGUGCAAAAAGAAUGUCUUGCUCUUAGUAAUGCUUGAGGGUGACCUGGCUGUUGGAGAAGACCCUGGGCAGGACACCAGUGCAGCUUGGCUGAGAGCCCGCAGUCCCUGGGCCCGGCGCUUACGACAGUGAGGAUCCUGACGGGAGUCUCCCCGCAAGCUCCCGAGUGGGGCCGGGGAGAGACGGAAUGACAGAGGGGAAAAACGGCGGACACAUAGAGGCGUCAGCCGAACACACAAGUCUCUGCUCGAAGGUGGAUUUUUGGCACAUUUCUCUCAGUCUCAUCAGGAGCAGAGAGGAGGACUUUCUUUGCUCUCAGUAAGCAAUAGCUCCCAAACUGAAAAAAUGAAGUAACUUUAUUUCAUACACGAUUGUACAUUUUUAUUUUGGUUUUUGUGUUUAAGCGUGUUUAAUUUUACGGUUGAGUUUUGUGGCAAGUGAUACUGCUUUUCCAUUUUGGAAAGUAACGGUGUUCCCUUAAAAGCAUCUUGAUUUAAGUAAGAAAGGGGUCACUUAUAAUGUUAUUAAUGAUACAGUUAGAGUGUGGAAUUGGCAAAAGUAUUGGAAGUGUGAUGCAAACAGUUGAAAUGUGGGCAGUACCGUUAUUCACCAGCCUGGGGUUGGAAGGCCUGGGGUUCUGCUGUCUCACCUACUGAGUGAUUGUAAGUCAGCGGCUUCCAAACCUGUGUACUGGAAUCACCUGGCAAGGGGGCGGGGCUUCCAAACUGCUGCUGCCCAUCUCCCACCCCCAGAGAUUCCAGUUUAAUAGGUCUGGGGUCUGUCCUGGGCUUUGGAUGUUGUCAGUGAUCCCCAGUGGUCCUAACGUCAGGCUCCUUAGGAGCUACUGCCACAGAACGUUCUUUGAUGUCACAGAGACUGAGUCUCCUUGUCUACAGUAUGGGUGAGUUUAGCCCCUAUGAUACAGGAUCUGCCCUGGCCUCUGUGUUCUUAAAAAUAUAAGCGAAUGCCUUCAAGUGAGUGGCUCACCAUUUUAUCCCUAAAAGGGAUUGCUGAAUGGGAUGAGUCAUCUGGGUUCUAGAUGGAGAAGAAAAUGCCAAUGCAGAUCGAGUCUGGGGCUGUUGGUGCGAAGGGAAGAAGGUGGAACAGAAGAUGGAGAGGAAGGGGGUGCCUUGCAGAAACUCUUCCUCUCAGCCAGCCUCGCUGAUCGUUCAUAUUUUCAGAUAGAAAUGGGGUGGCAUCAGGCAGAGCUCAGAUCUGGACCUAGGAGACAUGGGCUGCUAUGGGCUAGAGACAUGGUCUCAGACAAGCCCUUUUACCUCUUUGUGCCAGUUUCUCCAUUUGGAUAAUAAGGGGGUGGGCUAAUUGGUUUAUAAGGUUCCUUCCAUUGUGUGUGGUAAGAUCACCCAAGACUUCCUCCCUUUCACCGUCUUCCCCCACCAAGUCGUUUCUUGGCUUUUUGCCAACGGAAUCCCCAACUCCAAGGGCCAGUAGAUGGCGGUAGAGUCUUUUGAAUUGGGAUUUUAGAGCUGGCUCACCAGAUUUCAGCCUCCUCCCCUGGCAAUGCUGGGAGUGGGGCCCUGGCUGAGCUCAACAGCUGCUGUCUGGAUGUAUUCAUUUGUGAGCCAUAAAGGGGCAAAAUUUAAAGGAAUAGUAUUUCUUUGGAGGUCCCGACCAACCAGAGCACGGCACAGUAGGACCUAGCUGGUCCUCAGAGCCCAGUUGCAUUUUUGCUCUCUCACAGGUCAAGCCCCACUCCCGCCGUUGGGCCUGAUUUUUGGUUCACGUUCCUACAGUGAUGCACGAAUACAGGAGUGUGGGAGAGCAUAAUAGGACUUUUGUAGUAAGAGAGAAACCUGGGCCAUUUUUAAGGCAAAACCAAUUUCUGGCAGGGACUUAAAUGUGCACAUUACUUGAUAGUUUUAAAGGGCAUUCAUAUAUGUGAACUCACUUCAUCUUCGAAGCAAGCCUUUGAAGUUGGUGGGACCAAUUAAUUUUCAGCUUCGUUUGUCAGGUGAGGGAGCUGAGUCUCAGGGUAACCAGGAAAGGGAUUUGUUCAAAGACCUCCUGCUCUAAGGAUGUGAUCAGAAGUUGAAUGCGAGUCAUUUGAUCCCUUAGUCCAGUUCUCUUUCUGCUGAUGGAGGCACAUGGGCUAACGUGUCUCACACUGGGAUUCCUGUAGGAACUUGCGGGGAUAUACAUUUGAGAAGUCUUUAUCAUUCACUUGCUCUGUGUCAGGUACCGAGCAAUACAUACAAAAAAAAAAAAAAAAAUUGCCAGUUUCAUUCCUCAUAACAACCCUGCGAAGUAGGGAUUGCUUGAACCCAAUUUAGAGGUGAAAAAACUGAAACCCAGAAGCCAUGACUCCAAAUCACAGGGUAAGUCAUGAGGCUGGGAUGCAAAGGCAGGCAGUGGUGUUCUUGCUGUCGAGAGGGAGGGAGCGAAACCAUAAGAGACUCUUAAAAACUGAGAACAAACUGAGGGUUGAUGGGGGGGGUGGGUGAUGGGUAUUGAGGAGGGCACCUGUUGGGAUGAGCACUGGACAUUGUAUGAAAAACAAUUUGACAAUACAUUUCAUAUUUUAAAAAAAUAAUAAAAAAUAAAAACACCUUCGUUGAGAUGUAAUUCACAUACUCUGCAAUUUGCCUACUGAAGGUAUAUAAGUUUAGUAGUUUUUAGUAUAUUUAGCAGAGAUGAGAAAACAUCACCACAGUCCAUUUUAGAACAUUUUUUUUGUCACCCUAACAGGAAACAGUGUUUCCGUCACUAGCUGGGCCAUGCCGUUCUUAACUGCUAUGCUGUAUUCCAUGUCCAUGGAUAGGCAUGCGUCAGUAUGUCCUGUCUUCCAAGAGUUGUGCUGGCACAUAGGUCGAUUAUUCCAUUACAAUGCAGUAGACACGACAGAGGUUGAGGCCCAAAGCGCGAAAGGCCUAUAGUGUGAUGCAGAUCCUCAAAGCAAGGACUUUCACCUAGAGAGAGAGAAAACGGUUUUCUCUACAGGGCCUGAGUUUUCUGUUUGUAACAGAGCUGUGGGUUAAUGCAUCAAAUACACCUGGAAAUUAAGAUGAUCUUCCGUAGAGGAGAUACUUAGACCUAGUAGGCCAGGGGUCAGUUACUGGGGUGUUAUCAGGUUGGCCCAAGACCCUUUUCAGUCCUCAUGGGAAUGUGCUGGGCGGGCAAGAGGGUGGGGCAGAGUCUGAGGUACUCUGAGGUGGGUUAGGAGCCCUGAGGCCUGGAUAUUUGGGCUGUCACCAGGAAACUCCGUUGGCUUCCGUGUUACUCCCCGGGUCAACUUGGUGGGAUAAACUUUUCCUAGAGGGAAGUUCCUCUAAGAUAUGCUUUACCUUGGGAGUUACAGAAACUUCCAAGGAGCAGCCAGAGGAGCAAGGGGCCCAUAGCUGGGUUUCGCUUUGUGUAACGCUGCCUCAGCUUUUUGAGGUUUACGGUGUUUAUGAAGAUCCGUAACAGCCGGCUCCAAGCCCGGCUCCAAGGAGAGCUGUUUCUGGGAGGCCCCCCCGAAGUUUGCAUUUCAGCUUCAAGAAUGGCGAGAACAGUACAGUUGAAGGUCUCAUUUUCAUAACCUCACAGUAAUAAUGACAGCUGCCAUUAAUGGAACGCCUUCCAAGUGCCAGAUGGUAUGUUAGGGAUUUUUUGCUUGUUUCACUAAAAUCUGAUAAACCUGCCAGGGCCCUGUUCGUACACAUGCACUGUAGUGGAAGAUCAGAAGAGGGGAAGUAAUUUGCCCAAGACACAUCUAGCUAGAGGGCAGCAGGGCUGGAAUUCUAACCCUGAGUGUCCAGCUCGUCCCGGGUUGCCUGGGACCUUCCUGCUUUUGAGACCAGAAGUCCCAUGUCCCAGCAAGUGGCCUCAGUCCUGGGCAGGCUGGGACAGCUGGCGCGCCUAAUAUCCAGGACUGUUGGUUUCCCUCUGCUGGGCCUGCCACAUAGCGCUGAGGUUUUGUUGGCUCCUUUCUUGACAGCAGUACGUGGUUUGGGCUCCCCCUCGAAACCCACUUAGGGACGGGCCAUGCUCCUCCCUGUCUGUCCCCGAGUGCCUGCUCCCUUGCACUACUCGGAGCCUUGUCUCCUUCCAGCUGUUUCCUGGCUCCCUCACUCGCCUACUUGCUCUUGUUUUGAGGCAGGUCCUUUACCGUUUAUCUGUUUGUAGCUUCCCCCCAGCACCCAACCCACUGCUGGCUACACACCAUCUGAAGACUGGGGCUUGGGUUCCUGCUGAGCACCCCACACCCCCAGCUGUGCCCCCUGGAGAAACCACUUCACCUCCCUGGAGCCUUUGCUUCCUCAUCCAAGGCAGGAUGCCAACUGUAUUCCCCUCCCAACACUGCCCCGGGGCUUAACUUAAAUGCAAGAUAGGACCAUUGAUUUUCAACAUGAGAGGCAUGGCACAUGUUGGCUGUCAUUACCGUUGGUGACUUCCUGCUUUCCCUGCCUACCUCGGGAGGGAUAAAUGAGUCCCGGGUCAGUGUGGACCUGACUUAGCACGGGAACUUUUGGUGCUUGCUGGCCGGGCUGCUCGUGGCUUCUGCGUCCUGGGUUUCUUCUCUGCAUUUUGUGGAUUGCAAUGCAGGGUGUUGUCAGUGUCGAAGAAAUCAGUUCGUGGAGCGCUUAGUCUUGUGUCUGGACUGGCUUCAAUCUGGAAAAGGAGGCUGGAACCAGGUGUCUUCAAGUCAGCCAUCAGACCCGGCACUUGGAACACUGGCUCCCAGUGUUGUCAAUAAAUAUUGUGGCCUGAACAAGUGACUGAAUGGAUGAAUGUUUGGGGAACUGCAGUAUCUGCUGAGUAAGGGGUAGAGAGAACACAGGACGGGAGGCAAAAUUGCUUCAUAAGGUUAAAAACACUCAAUGCGAACAAAGAGGAUUUCUCACAAACUAUCCUGAAUCUUCCCUAGAGCAAGGCAGCUUCAGAACAAAGGCAGUAAGAGAACAGUGUGAUAAUCGAGGAGGUCCCCUGUUCUUCUCACCUCUGCUGUGAUAGUUCUCCCACGCUACCAUCUACUUGCUUUGGCCUUUCCCACCAGGGUCCCCUCCUGACCAUGCAUUCACCUCUUGUCAACAGAGCACAGAAACGAGCCAUUCUUGUUGUGUCUAUUUUAGAAGCAUUUUUAGAGCUUAUUUUUGCCUCAUCUCCAUGCCAAUCCAGAACUUGCGGCCAUUUUCAAUUAUUUCUGUUACUUCAUUUUAUCUCGCUUGUUAACUUCUUCUUGGUGUCCUUGGCUGGCUUCUUUUCCCCACCCAGACGUCUUACGUUUGUGAGGCCCCAGGCUCCGUAUUUGGGACCUCUUUUCCCUAUCUACACUCCUUCCUUUGGUGACUUCAUUCAGUCUCUUGGCUUCAAUUAUUAUUUAUAUCCUCUGACUCUCAAAUUUCUAUCUCUAGUCUAAAUCUCUGUUGAACUCCUAUAAUCAACUGCCUCCCGGAUAUUCUCACUUGUAUUUUUGGUAGAAAAUACUGAACUCAGCAUGUCCCAAACUGUUCUGAUUUGCACCUCAGCCAGCACCCCCAACCUGCCCCUCCUGUGCCCCUUCCUCUUCCAGCUGCAGCCUCUGGAUUGUUCAGGCCACAAACCUUGGAGACAUCCUUGACUCCACUUACACUCUCAUCCCUACUUCAAAUCUGCCAGAAAGUUUUCAGUUCAACUUAAAAAUACCAUAUUUCCUGGAUACCAAGGUACAGAUCAUGUCAGCUUUUCGUAUCUCCACGUUAGGAAUGUGUCCCGCAAACUGGCAUCUUAAGCUUAACAAGAUGCGGUAUAUCGAGGAUUUGGUCGUUGUUCAGUUCAGCUCUCCACUGUUAACACUCAGGUCAAGGUCGCCAUCAUGUCUCACCUGGAUGACUGUCAAAGCUUCCGGUGUGGUUGGUGUCUCUUCCUCUCCUUUUACGAUCCAUUGUGUAUUCUCAAAUAGAUAGCCAGGAUGACUCAUUUCCAGCAUAAAUUAGAUCAAAACCUUCCAGUGACUUCCUGUCUCAGAUGAAGAAAAAGCUGGUGGUCCCAUAAUGUCCUAAAGACCCUAUGUGACUUGGGCCCUGUUUCCUUUCUGAUCUCAUCCCUACUCUCUUUACCCCUCACGCAAGCAGCCAUAGCCCCACUAGCCUUCAUUGCGGGUCUUCAAGACUUUCAGACAUGCUUCCACCUUUGGGUUUUUACAGUGGGUGUUUCUCCUCCUCAGCACACUCCUCCCUCAGGUAUCCAUUUGGCUAACCCCCUUAUUUCCUUCAAGUUUUGUUCAAACAUCAGCUUAUCGAUGAGGUUUCCUCUGACUGCUCUAAUGAAAAUUGCAACGGACACCUUACCCCAGUACUCGACUCCCAUCCUCUGCUCUGUCCUCCUCUCCCCCAUAGCACUUAGCACCUCUCGUGUACUUUACAGUUUACUCAUAAAUACCUGUCUUCAGUUACAGGAAUGUAAACUUCACCAGGGCAAGCACUAUUUUGUCUGUUUUACAUACUGACAUACCCUGAGCACCUAGAACAGGUACUCACAAAUAUUUGUUCAAUGAGCGAAUAGCUUUCAAAUUCAAGAAAAGCAGCCGUGGUCAGAGAAUCCAAAGUCGAGCAUACAGACUUGUCAGAGACCCUGGUGUGAUUUCAGUGACGGCAAUGAAUGUUUUCCCUCCCUCUCUUUCAAAAUAAGACUCCCAAAGCCGAAGCCAUUAUUGGAAGCAGUGGUGGGGAAAGGGGUGGGGAAGAUGGCCCAUGAGAAACAGCCAAGUCAGCGACUUUAGUGAAGCUUAGGUAAGUCAGAAGCUGAGCGGCCGUGUGUGACUUUCAUUAAUCAUCCCCUUCACACCACAUCAACACAAGUGAUGACUUUUGUCUGCACCUCCUGCCUCCAGUGCCAUGAUAUAUGGCCUGAGAAGAGUCCUGGGCUCUAAUUGUUGAAGACCCCCAAACGAUGAAUGCUCAUAGCCUGGCCUGUGAAGGAAGAGCGAAAUCAUGAUGAAAGGUGGACGCACCAUGCAAAUUGUGUUGGCUUUGGCCUCCCCAGCCUGGCCUGGCUGUUCUCCCUGUACAGGGGCCUGGCAACUGGAUCCGGCAGAAGAAAUGGCACUUAUGCACAGCUUUGUGCCUCCUUGGCUGCGUGGCUCCCUAAGAAGUCAACGGGAGAGGAUGAGGACAAAGUUACAAGAUCAGGCAAAACAGAUUUGGAACCCCUCCUGGGUGCAGUUCUUUUUGCUCUUUCCCCUCCUUUCCACCCCAACAGAGGGCUCCAGGUGAGAGUGCAUUAUUGGCCAGAGAUGAGGGAUCAAGGGUCUCGUUUUGCCAUUUCCACACCCUUGGGCAAAUUAUUGAUUCUUCUUAGUUCUCCCAUGGGUUUAGAAAGUGAUCAUCUCUUGUAGCUGUAUAGAAUUUUAGAUGUCACAAAUGGCUUUAACACUUAACUAAUACAAGCCUCUCAAUUCUGUUAGGUCAGGGGAGAUACAAUUAUCUCUGUUCUACACACAAGAAAACCCCCACGAUUCAGAGAACUCAAGCCAUUUGUCCAAGGUUACAAAGCUAGUAAAUGGAGAUGAAGUAAAAAUUCAGCACUUUGUUUCUUAGCUCUGUAAAAUUUCAAGAGUCUCUUAGGCAUUCAAAUCUAACUCAUUGACAUUGAAGUUCAAUAACAGUGAUAACCCUACGAAGGGAAGAUUUUCUUAAAAAAGGAAAAUGGAAGAAGAGCAUAAAGACAAUGCUUGACUGAAAGAGCUGAAUCCUGAGUUUUAUUUCUUCAUUCAUUUGUUUAUUCAUUCAUUCAUUUCCCAGGUGUUUUUGAGCACCUGCUUUGUGCUGUGAGCUCUUCUAGAUAUUUUAAGUCCCAUGGCACCUGAAUCUUGGAAUAUCUUUGUAUGGCAUGGAACAAGAUAUUUCAAAAAUUUUUUAUUGUUUAUUUAUUUAUUUUUGAAAGACAGAGAGAUGGAGCGUGAGUGGGGGAGGGGCAGAGAGAGAGGGAGGCACAGAAUCCGAAGCAGGCUCCAGGCUCUGAGCUGUCAGCACAGAGCCCAAUGCGGGGCUCUAACCCAUGGACUGUGAGAUCAUGACCUGAGCUGGAGUGGGAUGCUUAACCGGCUGAGCCACCCAGGCACCCCGGAACAAGAUAUUUCCAAUCCUGCAGAAGUUGCUCACCCGACGUGGGUACUCACUGUGGAUAGUGAGCACACUCUGUGGUUCCUAUUAAAAGCCAUGUCUUUGCUCAUGCCCUUUGUGGGCAGUGGCCUUCCCUCAACAGGCCGCCCCUCUACCUCUGCUGCCCUGUGAAGAUUCCACUCAAGCGUCACCAUGGAUGAAAGCUUCCUUUAUACCCCAGCACUUCCCACAGAAAUGACCCAUGUAAACUCUUUGAACUCUGCAGAAACUGUCACGUACUUGCCAUCCUUCCUCACGUUGGCUCCUGUGUCUGUCUUCCUCUACCAGGCUCUGAGCAUCUUGAUGGAAGAGAUCAUUUCUGUUCAGAAACUAGAAGCGAUCCAGAGACAAGCAUCAUUAACAUUUUGAAAUUUUUCAUUGUAUUAUUGUCUCACAUAUACUUCCGUGCAUUGUUUUUCUAAAUCUGAAAUCACGUGGCUUUAUUUCCUCUUUUCGAACAAAGGUGGAUUUCCCCCCUAAUUUUUAAUGUUUCUUAAACUGGGACACAUUUUACAACCAAUGUUACGUUAUUAUUAAUAUAGUGUUUAUCAACACCCAAAUUUGAUGUUAAUUUGUCUGAUGAGUCUUUAAAAUUGCUACCAUCUAGGAUUUAAGGACUACUGUGUGUGUGUGCAUGUACUAUAUUUUCCCAAAUAUGUAUGUGUAUGUAUUACUUUCUCAAAUAUACAUAUAUGUAUGUAUAAUUUAUAUAUUCUGUAAUGUAUAAUAGACCACAUAAUAUUAUGUCAUGAGCAUUUUCUCAUGACAGUGAAUAUUCCUUGAUAACAUAAAUUUUAAUGGCUGCCUAGAUGCCUACUCUACAAAUGAA